GAUGAAGAACGUAGCGAAAUGCGAUAAGUAAUGUGAAUUGCAGAAUUCAGUGAAUCAUCGAAUCUUUGAACGCACCUUGCGCCUUUUGGUAUUCCGAAAGGCACACCUGUUUGAGCGUCAUGAAUACCUCAAUCUCCAUCUUUUCUUCGGAUUGAUGGGUGACUUGGAUGUUGAGCCCUGCUGGUAUGCUAUAUCAGCUGGCUUUAAACUUAUUAGCCGGCUCUGUACUGGAUCGGUUUGACUCGACGUGAUAAUAUUAUCGUUGAGGAUGCAUGUCCCAUGCAGCCGGAAAGUAUCAAAGCAGCUUCUAGCUUGCCUUUAGUGCACUUUUACAUUUUAGACCUCAGAUCAGGUGGGACUACCCGCUGAACUUAAGCAUAUCAAUAAGCGGAGGA
Molecule: unclassified non-coding RNA, 395 nt
Filed under: soil metagenome
Description: partial contains 5.8S ribosomal RNA, internal transcribed spacer 2, and large subunit ribosomal RNA
Rfam family: 5.8S ribosomal RNA (bases 1-120)
Source: RNAcentral